AUCACACAGGCGAAAAGAUGAGUAACCAGUCGAAGGUCCGCAGCGAGUUGUCAUUUGGUGAAAGACAAUGAUCGGGCACUGGCGAAGAUGGUCUUUUGAAGCAUUCAGUUGCGAACACAUCUUGCAAGCAACUGACGGGCACUCCCGUUACUGAGUCAGGGUAUAACGCAAACUUGCGAAGUACUUAGAGAGAAUCGAUUUCGAUCGGUUAAUCAAGGUGGUAACGCGGAAAAUCCGUCCUUGUC
Molecule: non-coding RNA, 245 nt
Filed under: Lacticaseibacillus casei
Lineage: Bacteria; Bacillati; Bacillota; Bacilli; Lactobacillales; Lactobacillaceae
Also listed under: 1 other name
Description: Lactobacillus casei T-box sequence
Rfam family: T-box leader
About the family: Uncharged tRNA acts as the effector for transcription antitermination of genes in the T-box leader family. T-boxes are found upstream of many aminoacyl-tRNA synthetase genes and some amino acid biosynthetic genes usually in Gram-positive bacteria.
Source: RNAcentral